Molecule: non-coding RNA, 319 nt
Organism: Schizosaccharomyces pombe (fission yeast)
Lineage: Eukaryota; Fungi; Ascomycota; Schizosaccharomycetes; Schizosaccharomycetales; Schizosaccharomycetaceae
Source: the annotation of a GenBank genome assembly
UAAACUUGUAAUUGACUUUAAGCAAUCUCGCUUCGCUUAACCUUAAACUUGCAAACUCACUCAAACACACAAGGUUGGGAAUUAGGCGUCUAUAAUAAGUUAGAAAAGCAGGACUCGCAUUGUUUUGAGUGUCUAAAACUUAAUCACAAUGUCUCAAAAUGUAUCUGUCAAACACACAAAGAAUUCAAGGACAAUAAACUGUUGCAGGACAGGCAGAGCAUUGUACCGUGUUCUAUCAACGGCGCUUUUAGGGCAACUUGUGAAACGGCUAAAGUGUGUUGAAGACAAAAUCAAGUGAAAGAGCAAGUAUUAAAAAAGG